GGGCGCUUAGCUCAGCUGGUCCAGAGCACUGCCCUUACAAGGCAGGGGUCGCUGGUUCGACUCCAGCAGCGCCCACGA
This 78-nucleotide transfer RNA is filed under the name Calditrichota bacterium. RNAcentral's name for it is "Calditrichaeota bacterium tRNA-Val". It matches the Rfam family "tRNA". From Rfam's summary of the family: Transfer RNA (tRNA) molecules are approximately 80 nucleotides in length. Their secondary structure includes four short double-helical elements and three loops (D, anti-codon, and T loops). Lineage: Bacteria; Pseudomonadati; Calditrichota. The record is from RNAcentral.